GGCUUUAUAGUCAUUAAUGAUAUUAGACUGCAAUUCUAAAGGAGUAGAUCUCUACUAAGGCUU
RNAcentral lists this transfer RNA (63 nucleotides) under Amphinemura wui. RNAcentral's name for it is "tRNA-Cys". The record is from RNAcentral. Lineage: Eukaryota; Metazoa; Arthropoda; Insecta; Plecoptera; Nemouridae.